This 342-nucleotide ribosomal RNA is filed under the name Microbacterium thalli. RNAcentral's name for it is "partial 23S ribosomal RNA". It matches the Rfam family "Bacterial large subunit ribosomal RNA", at positions 2223 to 2567 of the family's 2925-position model. Lineage: Bacteria; Bacillati; Actinomycetota; Actinomycetes; Micrococcales; Microbacteriaceae. The record is from RNAcentral.
CCUACGGGUCUUAUCGACCCGGGAGACAGUGUCAGGUGGGCAGUUUGACUGGGGCGGUCGCCUCCUAAAGUGUAACGGAGGCGCCCAAAGGUUCCCUCAGAAUGGUUGGAAAUCAUUCGUAGAGUGCAAAGGCAUAAGGGAGCUUGACUGCGAGACCUACAAGUCGAGCAGGGACGAAAGUCGGGCUUAGUGAUCCGGUGGUUCCGCAUGGAAGGGCCAUCGCUCAACGGAUAAAAGCUACCCCGGGGAUAACAGGCUUAUCUCCCCCAAGAGUCCACAUCGACGGGGAGGUUUGGCACCUCGAUGUCGGCUCAUCGCAUCCUGGGGCUGUAGUCGGUCCCA